GACAUCCACGGAAGUUUUCAGAGAUGAGAAUGUGCCUUCGGGAACCGUGAGACAGGUGCUGCAUGGCUGUCGUCAGCUCGUGUUGUGAAAUGUUGGGUUAAGUCCCGCAACGAGCGCAACCCUUAUCCUUUGUUGCCAGCGGUCCGGCCGGGAACUCAAAGGAGACUGCCAGUGAUAAACUGGAGGAAGGUGGGGAUGACGUCAAGUCAUCAUGGCCCUUACGACCAGGGCUACACACGUGCUACAAUGGCGCAUACAAAGAGAAGCGACCUCGCGAGAGCAAGCGGACCUCAUAAAGUGCGUCGUAGUCCGGACUGGAGUCUGCAACUCGACUCCAUGAAGUCGGAAUCGCUAGUAAUCGUGGAUCAGAAUGCCACGGUGAAUACGUUCCCGGGCCUUGUACACACCGCCCGUCACACCAUGGGAGUGGGUUGCAAAAGAAGUAGGUAGCUUAACCUUCGGGAGGGCGCUUACCACUUUGUGAUUCAUGACUGGGGUGAAGUCGUAACAAGGUAACCGUAGGGGAACCUGCGGUUGGA
Molecule: ribosomal RNA, 539 nt
Filed under: Salmonella enterica subsp. arizonae
Lineage: Bacteria; Pseudomonadati; Pseudomonadota; Gammaproteobacteria; Enterobacterales; Enterobacteriaceae
Description: bacterial SSU rRNA
Rfam family: Bacterial small subunit ribosomal RNA
Source: RNAcentral